AGCAGGUAGCUUAUAUUUUAAAGCAUAACACUGAAGAUGUUAUUAAGGUAAUUUAUCCCUGCUA
Molecule: transfer RNA, 64 nt
Filed under: Micromelo undatus (miniature melo)
Lineage: Eukaryota; Metazoa; Mollusca; Gastropoda; Aplustridae
Description: Micromelo undata (miniature melo) tRNA-Phe
Source: RNAcentral